UUGACUAAAGGUAAGUCAAAGUUUGAGUUGAUAUGCUUCAUGUGUACUAAAGAAUUUGUAAUUGAAAGAUCCGUUGACUAAAAGUAAGUCGAAGGUUAUGUUUGAAAUGCUUCAUAUGUAUUAAAGCAUUUUCAAGUGUAGUUGAAAGAUCCAUUGACUAAAGGUAAGUCAAGGUUUGAAUGGGUGUUUUAGUUUGAAAAGGGGGU
Molecule: long non-coding RNA, 206 nt
Filed under: Lathyrus oleraceus (garden pea)
Lineage: Eukaryota; Viridiplantae; Streptophyta; Magnoliopsida; Fabales; Fabaceae
Description: Pisum sativum (pea) long non-coding RNA (PSAT_LNC005691)
Source: RNAcentral